UACGGGGGGGGCAAGCGUUGUUCGGAGUUACUGGGCGUAAAGGGCUCGUAGGUGGCCAACUAAGUCAGACGUGAAAUCCCUCAGCUUAACUGGGGAACUGCGUCUGAUACUGGAUGGCUUGAGUUUGGGAGAGGGAUGCGGAAUUCCAGGUGUAGCGGUGAAAUGCGUAGAUAUCUGGAGGAACACCGGUGGCGAAGGCGGCAUCCUGGACCAACACUGACACUGAGGAGCGAAAGCCAGGGGAGCAAACGGG
Molecule: ribosomal RNA, 253 nt
Filed under: uncultured bacterium
Lineage: Bacteria
Description: partial 16S ribosomal RNA
Rfam family: Bacterial small subunit ribosomal RNA
Source: RNAcentral